CUGGUUGAUCCUGCCAGAAGUUACUGCUAUCGAGGUUCGACUAAGCCAUGCGAGUCGAAUGUAGCAAUACAUGGCGUACUGCUCAGUAACACGUGGACAACCUGCCCUUAGGUCGGGUAUAAACCCGGGAAACUGGGUAUAAUCCCCGAUAGGUCUCGGCUGCUGGAAUGCAUCGAGAUUUAAAGCUCCGGCGCCUAAGGAUGGGUCUGCGGCCUAUCAGGUAGUAGUGGGUGUAGCGUACCUACUAGCCUACGACGGGUACGGGUUGUGAGAGCAAGAGCCCGGAGAUGGAUCCUGAGACACGAAUCCAGGCCCUACGGGGUGCAGCAGGCGCGAAAACUUUACAAUGCUGGCAACAGCGAUAAGGGAACCUCGAGUGCCAGGUUACAAAUCUGGCUGUCGAGAUGCCUAAAAAGCAUUUCAUAGCAAGGGCCGGGCAAGACCGGUGCCAGCCGCCGCGGUAACACCGGCGGCUCGAGUGGUAACCGUUAUUAUUGGGUCUAAAGGGUCUGUAGCCGGCCGGAUAAGUCUCUUGAGAAAUCUGGCAGCUUAACUGUCAGGCUUUCAGGAGAUACUGUCUGGCUCGAGGCCGGGAGAGGUGAGAGGUACUUCAGGGGUAGGGGUGAAAUCUUGUAAUCCUUGAAGGACCACCAGUGGCGAAGGCGUCUCACCAGAACGGACCUGACGGCAAGGGACGAAAGCUAGGGGCACGAACCGGAUUAGAUACCCGGGUAGUCCUAGCCGUAAACGAUACUCGCUAGGUGUCGGCCACGGUGCGACCGUUGUCGGUGCCGUAGGGAAGCCGUGAAGCGAGCCACCUGGGAAGUACGGCCGCAAGGCUGAAACUUAAAGGAAUUGGCGGGGGAGCACCAC
Molecule: ribosomal RNA, 873 nt
Filed under: uncultured archaeon
Lineage: Archaea
Description: bacterial SSU rRNA
Rfam family: Archaeal small subunit ribosomal RNA
Source: RNAcentral